GGUAUAGCUCAGUGGUAGAGCACUUGCCUCCCAUGUGUGAGGCCCUGGAUUUGAUCCCCAGAACCA
RNAcentral lists this transfer RNA (66 nucleotides) under Marmota monax (woodchuck). It matches the Rfam family "tRNA". Rfam says of the family: Transfer RNA (tRNA) molecules are approximately 80 nucleotides in length. Their secondary structure includes four short double-helical elements and three loops (D, anti-codon, and T loops). Further hydrogen bonds mediate the characteristic L-shaped molecular structure. tRNAs have two regions of fundamental functional importance: the anti-codon, which is responsible for specific mRNA codon recognition, and the 3' end, to which the tRNAs corresponding amino acid is attached (by aminoacyl-tRNA synthetases). tRNAs cope with the degeneracy of the genetic code in two manners: having more than one tRNA (with a specific anti-codon) for a particular amino acid; and 'wobble' base-pairing, i.e. permitting non-standard base-pairing at the 3rd anti-codon position. The record is from Rfam by way of RNAcentral. Lineage: Eukaryota; Metazoa; Chordata; Mammalia; Rodentia; Sciuridae.